Siniperca chuatsi (mandarin fish) is the source of this 1444-nucleotide long non-coding RNA. RefSeq lists it as uncharacterized. The record is from RefSeq and is a predicted model, not a curated record. Lineage: Eukaryota; Metazoa; Chordata; Actinopteri; Centrarchiformes; Sinipercidae. The transcript has 5 exons.
CCUCUCACCUCUACUGGGACUACAAAAAUCUGUCACUUCCUGCUGCCUUUUUUUCGAUUCAAAAAGAGUCACGCUUAUGAAUGAGUCAAAACACUUUUUUAUGGAGCAGCAGUCUGGAUAUUUUUGUGUUCGGCUGGAUAAAGGAGACUGAGGAAUCAGAAAGUGUCUUCAAAAAUUGCGCCUGCUGAAGAUCCCACCACUCCAGGUCACUGAACUGACAUCGCUCCCCCAUGUAGCCCAAUACACAACUGCAACAGGCAUACAUGGGAAAAGGCAAACAGCAGAAUUAUGGAGUUCAUGAUCAGAAUCUGUUAUUGAGCAACAAGGGAAUGAACCACCACAAUGGAUGCUGGUUGGACCAUGUUGUCAUGGAUACGUUGCAGCUUUUUCCCAGUCCGCUUGUGUAUACUCGUCAGCUGCUGGUGCUCCCGAUCAGAUAUCCACAACCUGUCCUCAAAUACGGCAAGGUCAAAAGGUUGACCUGGAUGAAUCAGAAUAGAGGGAAAGGAGUAUUUCAAGGACCUGUCGAUCUGAGCCAUCCAGGGCAGCAGUCUCCACCAGGCCCCUCCUCUCGUCGCACCAGAACAGACGAUCCUCUGUGAAAUCGAUUGUCAGGCCACUUGGUGACACAAGGUUGGUGCUAGCAAUGACAGCACGGUCUUUCCCUUCCAAAGAAGCACUUUCCACGAGAGGCUGGGCCCCUAUAUCAGUCCAGAACAACUUCCUCAAAAAGGAGAAGGGAAAAAAAAAGAUUUAUUAAUCCCACAGAACCUCCUGUGUGUGUGCUUCAUCACAAAUACAUAUGUGAACCUCAUUUUAAACCUUAGUUGGAUUAAAAUUAUCGCAAAGCAAGCUUUCCCAAAAAUGUACUUUUUUUUUCUAGCUUUGAAGCUACUUAAUGGAAAAGUACAAGGGACAAUGUUCUCAAGUAGAUCACUGCUAGCAACUGUUUAGUCCAGCGCCACCUUAGCUACAAUUGCUAGCAGUAGAUAACAACGUUUCAGAGGCUCAAACUGUAUUUUUGUAACAACCUUGGUAUCCUCAUCUGCAUGCUGAUAUUUUGCAAAGUGAAUAUCUUUUUUUCUGUCUGGUCUUGAUAUGAGGCCAACUUGUUAUUAUAUAGUUCUGGAAAUUCAGAAAAAAGUCAUUCGUUUUUCGUUCAUCAUACAGUUCAAGCAGUGGUCAACUAUUAUUGGCUGUGCCCACAAAGGUCAGCGCAGCUUGGGUCAAAGUUUAACAAAUUUGAACUUUCCACACCCCCCGCUUCACUUGGCGCACCAUGGGCAUCCACGCAAAACGGAAAAGCUGUUAUCUGUGAUAAUGUGUAUAUUCCAUGAAUCACAAAGUAGAGCUAUUGACACACUGAAGAUUUGUCCUGUGGUAUCACAUACUGUAUGCACUGCUGUUUAUUGAUGUCAGAUUAAAUCCUUCUAGGUGGGUUGCA